RNAcentral lists this ribosomal RNA (253 nucleotides) under uncultured bacterium. Its description in RNAcentral is "partial 16S ribosomal RNA". It matches the Rfam family "Bacterial small subunit ribosomal RNA", at positions 524 to 776 of the family's 1533-position model. The record is from RNAcentral.
UACGUAGGGUGCAAGCGUUGUCCGGAAUUAUUGGGCGUAAAGAGCUCGUAGGCGGUUUGUCGCGUCUGCUGUGAAAACGCGAGGCUCAACCUCGCGCCUGCAGUGGGUACGGGCAGACUAGAGUGUGGUAGGGGAGACUGGAAUUCCUGGUGUAGCGGUGAAAUGCGCAGAUAUCAGGAGGAACACCGAUGGCGAAGGCAGGUCUCUGGGCCAUAACUGACGCUGAGAAGCGAAAGCAUGGGGAGCGAACAGG